GUGUCAGCAGCCGCGGUAAGACAGAGGGUGCAAACGUUGUUCGGAAUUACUGGGCGUAAAGCGAGUGUAGGCGGUUUGGUAAGUCGGAUGUGAAAGCCCCGGGCUCAACCCGGGAAGUGCACUCGAUACUGCCAAGCUAGAGUAUCGGAGAGGUUGGUGGAAUUCUCGGUGUAGAGGUGAAAUUCGUAGAUAUCGAGAGGAACACCGGUGGCGAAGGCGGCCAACUGGACGAAUACUGACGCUGAGACUCGAAAGCGUGGGGAGCAAACAGGAUUAGAAACCCCCGUAGUCC
Molecule: ribosomal RNA, 292 nt
Filed under: uncultured bacterium
Lineage: Bacteria
Description: partial 16S ribosomal RNA
Rfam family: Bacterial small subunit ribosomal RNA
Source: RNAcentral